GCCGAUUUCUGGAGACGUUCUCUCAGCGCGUUUGCUUCAGCCGAACUCUCUCCCCAUCCCUCGGCCGUCACACCUGCACUACCGCGGCGGCUCUUCAUUAUCCGACUUGUGGAAGUUUACCUGUGCUUUGAAAGCGACGACGAAGUUCAAAGACAGCGAUGGUUCCUUCUCGGAUUGGUCCAUUUGGCAUCGGGAUGUUCCUAGUCGCAACCUUCGUGCUCAGCGCAUCUGAGUCGCCAACCCUGAGAGGAGGCUGGAAGAGGAAGCAAGUGGGGGAGGAUGCGAUAUUCGACGAGUUGGCACAUUACGCCAUAUCCCAACAAGUCAGCGACAGAGAGUUCUUUGACACAGUGCUUGAGCUGGUCGAAGUAGAGACCCAAACUGUCGCCGGCACAAACUACCGAAUCAAGUUCAAGACAGCCGAGUCAACCUGCAGGGUGGGUGAAGUAUACAACAAGGAGGUCUGCCUUCCACGAACUAG
Long non-coding RNA from Rhipicephalus sanguineus (brown dog tick), 481 nucleotides. RefSeq lists it as uncharacterized. The transcript has 3 exons. Lineage: Eukaryota; Metazoa; Arthropoda; Arachnida; Ixodida; Ixodidae. The record is from RefSeq and is a predicted model, not a curated record.